Molecule: ribosomal RNA, 254 nt
Filed under: uncultured bacterium
Lineage: Bacteria
Description: partial 16S ribosomal RNA
Rfam family: Bacterial small subunit ribosomal RNA
Source: RNAcentral
UACGUAGGGUGCGAGCGUUGUCCGGAAUUAUUGGGCGUAAAGAGCUCGUAGGCGGUGUGUUACGUCGGGCGUGAAAACCUGCAGCUUAACUGUGGGCGUGCGGUCGAUACGGGCAUCACUGGAGUUCGGCAGGGGAGACUGGAAUUCCUGGUGUAGCGGUGAAAUGCGCAGAUAUCAGGAGGAACACCGGUGGCGAAGGCGGGUCUCUGGGCCGAUACUGACGCUGAGGAGCGAAAGCGUGGGGAGCGAACAGG